Glycine soja is the source of this 1780-nucleotide long non-coding RNA. RefSeq lists it as uncharacterized. The record is from RefSeq and is a predicted model, not a curated record. NCBI's taxonomy places the organism in Eukaryota, Viridiplantae, Streptophyta, Magnoliopsida, Fabales, Fabaceae. The transcript has 7 exons.
GAUAUAUCAAGAACAUUUCUUCUCACAAACUCAAUUUCUUCUUACACUCAAUUCCUCUCUCUCUUCUUCUUUAAUUCUCACACAAAACCAAGAAACCAUGAAAUCCGACAGAGAGGAGGAGAAAGAGAAAGAGAACGAUCACUGCAUCAGUUCUCAUAUGCAGACCCUUCAUCGCCGUCUUCUCCACGCCUUAAACCUUGGCACCAGAUCUCAACUUGCACCCCCAUCCCACCCAGUCACUUCCCUCCAGGUCCUUAUUCCGUGAAAUUUUCUUUAAAUUUUCUAUCUUUUUUACUUCCGACAUAGUGGGCACCCUUCUACCCAUCAUUUAAUUUUCUAUCUCGUUGGUUCAAAGUGAUUGAACUGUGUUUUUCGUUUCAUGGGUUUUUCUUUUGGUUCUGGGUCUGAGACCACGGUGUCCCCUAACCCAUUGGUCAGAGAAUUAUCUGCUCGGGGUGUGUGGUGUGUGGCUGCUGCUGUCACAAAAGAAUUUUGCACAUGACAUUUUGAUGAGAAGACAAAUAGAUGGAAAAAUGUGCUAUGAUCAAUUGGUGCGCUCUUGAUUCAUUAUCAGGAGAUGCACAUGCAGCACGUCAUGCUAUUGUUAAGGAACCUGUUGCCGAUAUUUUGGGAGCGCAUUAUUAUGGGUUCUUCAAUGCAAAAGUGAGGCUUUGUUAAGCAUGGCAUCAGAUGUGGCAGUAAAGAAGUUGCAACACCCUGUGCUAAUGCUUUGAAUUUGGUAAUCUCAAAUUUGAGUGCUACAAGUGAGAAGGCAGUUAUGGAAGCUUUGAAAGAAACAGAGACUUCCAUGCGUAUUGUUGGAAAUAGAAAAGAUUUUGCUGAAGGUGCAAAAAAAAUUGAAUAUUUUGAAGAGACGACUUUGCUUUUGAGCACAAUACUGUGGCGCUGGCCUCCUUCUAGGUUCCCUGUUGGAAAUUAUGUUAUACUUAUGAAAGUCUUAGCAAACAUCCAUACAAGGACAGAUAGUUCUAUUAAACUUACACUUUUAAAGCUCUUUAUGUGAUUCUGUAGCUAGAAAACGUAUAGAGGAUGGAGAAGUAUUUCCACAAAUGUUUGUGCAGGCGAUGGGAAAAUCAGACCCCCAUUCUGUUCGAAUAGAGGGGUUUAGGCUUGCUCAAUGUCUAUUGAGAUCCCAAGAGAAUUGUUUAAAAGUGGUUGGUUUGUGUGGUGAAGCUCUUGUUGAUGCAAUAAUUUGUGGGAUGAAAGAAACUGGGCUGAGUUCUAAAUAAAUUGGGAACAACCAUGGGUCUUUGUCAGGGGAAGCAUGCCAGUCAGCUCUAAUUACUCGCUGGGCGGGUGAUCAUCAUAUCAAGUUUUGGAAACAAGGAAUUGAUAGAAUUCUCCUUAAUCCUCCUGAUUGAAAAUAUUCAAGACCAAUUGUCUAAACCUGUCUUGUCAUUGAAAAAACAAAUAUCCAUGGUAAAAGAGGGAUUAAAAGCCAAUUAUCAUCUUGGUCUUGGGAGUUAUCUAUGAGACAUUCUUGGGUGGCUUACUAUUCACUGUGGAGAAAAUUUAAACCCUCAUACUCAUGGAACUUGAGUUUUGUGGAUACACUUGAAAAAUGGUGCCGAAUAUGUCAAAAGGAUAUUGCUGAUCCUUUUCAAGGCGAACCAGUAUCAAGGGCUGUUCUCGUGAUGAUUCAUUCUCCACGUAAUUCUAUCUCCUCGCAUGCUAGAUUCUUAUUAUUAGAUGUACUGAAUGCGAAAGGCUUGUCAUGCUUGAAAAGCUUAAUUUAAUACGUACUCUGGAUUAUACAUCA